GAAAUAUUUUAUUAUAGAAUAAGCUUCUAACUUGAUUCUAAAAUGGUGUAAAUCCAUUUAUAUUUCU
This 67-nucleotide transfer RNA is filed under the name Curculionoidea sp. 29 KM-2017. RNAcentral describes it as "tRNA-Ser". Lineage: Eukaryota; Metazoa; Arthropoda; Insecta; Coleoptera. The record is from RNAcentral.